Molecule: non-coding RNA, 196 nt
Filed under: Nitrospirota bacterium
Lineage: Bacteria; Pseudomonadati; Nitrospirota
Description: 6S RNA
Rfam family: 6S / SsrS RNA
About the family: E. coli 6S RNA was the first non coding RNA to be sequenced, but its function was unknown until recently.
Source: RNAcentral
GUUUCCCUGCCUUGCACGUGUCCGGGGCGCCAUUGCUCCGGGACCCAAUGCUUCGGAAACGGGAGUCCGAAUACGGGGUGGUGAGACGGCCUGCGGCACCCGCCGUUCAAGUCGACCUGAAACCCCGGGUAGGGCCCCCACCUGUAAUAACAGGGUUCCGGACAAAAACUGCCCCGAACGGCAAGGUGGGGAAUAU